Molecule: long non-coding RNA, 1312 nt
Filed under: Trifolium pratense (red clover)
Lineage: Eukaryota; Viridiplantae; Streptophyta; Magnoliopsida; Fabales; Fabaceae
Description: long non-coding RNA (TPRA_LNC011206)
Source: RNAcentral
AAAAUUAGUGAUACAAACUCAUCACUUAGAAAAUAAUAUGAAAUUUCCAAAACAAAACCAGCAUUAAAGGAUUAAAGUUGCGGAGAAACCAACAUUGCUAAGUAUGAAAACACAAAGUACAAUAGCUUUUGUAAGUUUAGUUAUCAUGUGAGCCUAUGACAGAUUCCAAACCUCAAACUUAAGGUACUAUCUGUCCAAUACUUGAGAGAAAAACAACUUUAGAACUCACAAUAGAAGUACCUUUGGCAUCAUCAUAUUAAAGGAAAAAUAAUUUACAUGAACUGAAAAAUGGAAAAAGGAUUGUUGCACGUAUUCUUCCUAGUACACAAAAGAACAGCUGUUUUUGCAGACAUUAGAAUUAUAAUUUAUAAGUACAAUACAUUCUUGUAAAAGUAACUUCAAAACAAAUCAAUGAUCGAGACAAGAUAGAAACAUUGAACACCUACCUAUUUGAGAAACGGAUCCCCUGUACCGAAAAUUUUCUACAAUGGAAUCUCAGUCGGUUAUUUAUUUCUACUUCACACGGUCAAAAUCAUCAAGAUGAAAUUGAAUGUUGAACGGUGGAAAUUUCCACCAGACUCCGAUCAUUGAAAAUCAUAAUUUGCCUAUUUGCUGAAAGUUAAUCAGUCCAUCUAAAGCAUAUUAUUAUACCAGAAACCUACUUGGUUAAGGUAAAGUACAAUAUCUGUUGUUUUGUAACUACAGCUUAAAUGGAAAACACUACACAGACAUUUGAUAUGCUAGGGUGCAGGUUCAAAACUGCAACCUCCACUUCUCAACACUUACUGUGUGUGAGUUUCGCCACUGACUCUUUGAAUACAGAUAAAAAAGAACAAUCUUUGUCUUUUCAUUUAAACAAACACUGAAUACAGCAGAAUUGCCCAACAUAGGACAUAAGGAUAAUUGACCCACAGUAUGAUACCAUCUCAAAACAAUCUUAAUGUGUGAGUUGAUACUAAAACUGAAUCAAAACAAACUAAAACACUUAAUAAUAAUUAGCCACACUUUUCUGUCUUGAAACAUUUCAAAUCAAACAGUAACAGUUAACCAUCCCAAGUUGUUGGGUCAAUUGAGCAAACAAGAUACCUUAUCUUCGGGAUAAUAUGAAUAGGUUCUGAUGUAUGUAAAAUCACAUGUUGAUACAAAGAAAGUGAGUAAAAACAGUCUGCAGCAAACAUAAGUGUUAUACUCACAGAAAUUUAAAGCUUAGAGGCAUAAGUUUAAAAAAAUAUGAAAUAGACACAAAUAAGUGUUAUACUACACUGUUAUGCCAAAUUUUCGCAUGCAGUUUUGGUUUUAAACCAAACUUUGC